Molecule: ribosomal RNA, 460 nt
Filed under: uncultured bacterium
Lineage: Bacteria
Description: partial 16S ribosomal RNA
Rfam family: Bacterial small subunit ribosomal RNA
Source: RNAcentral
CCUACGGGGAGCAGCAGUGAGGAAUAUUGGUCAAUGGACGCAAGUCUGAACCAGUCAUGCCGCGUGCAGGAAGACGGCUCUAUGAGUUGUAAACUGCUUUUGUACGAGGGUAAACGCAGAUACGCGUAUCUGUCUGAAAGUAUCGUACGAAUAAGGAUCGGCUAACUCCGUGCCAGCAGCCGCGGUAAUACGGAGGAUUCAAGCGUUAUCCGGAUUUAUUGGGUUUAAAGGGUGCGUAGGCGGUCGGAUAAGUUAGAGGUGAAAUCCCGAGGCUCAACUUCGGAAUUGCCUCUGAUACUGUUCGGCGAGAGAGUAGUUGCGGUAGGCGGAAUGUAUGGUGUAGCGGUGAAAUGCUUAGAGAUCAUACAGAACACCGAUUGCGAAGGCAGCUUACCAAGCUACUUCUGACGUUGAGGCACGAAAGCGUGGGGAGCAAACAGGAUUAGAUACCCCAGUAGUC